CCCCUACGGGAGGCAGCAGCGGGGAAUAUUGCACAAUGGGCGCAAGCCUGAUGCAGCGACGCCGCGUGGGGGUGAAGGCCUUCGGGUUGUAAACUCCUUUCGCCCGGGACGAAGCCCACCUGGUGGGUGACGGUACCGAGCGAGGAAGCCACGGCUAACUACGUGCCAGCAGCCGCGGUAAUGGGG
This 186-nucleotide ribosomal RNA is filed under the name uncultured bacterium. Its description in RNAcentral is "partial 16S ribosomal RNA". It matches the Rfam family "Bacterial small subunit ribosomal RNA", at positions 336 to 528 of the family's 1533-position model. The record is from RNAcentral.